Molecule: unclassified non-coding RNA, 148 nt
Organism: Papio anubis (olive baboon)
Lineage: Eukaryota; Metazoa; Chordata; Mammalia; Primates; Cercopithecidae
Rfam family: Metazoan signal recognition particle RNA
About the family: The signal recognition particle (SRP) is a universally conserved ribonucleoprotein. It is involved in the co-translational targeting of proteins to membranes. The eukaryotic SRP consists of a 300-nucleotide 7S RNA and six proteins: SRPs 72, 68, 54, 19, 14, and 9.
Source: Ensembl
GCUGGGUGUGGUAGAGGGCGCCUGUAAUCCCAGCUACCCAGGAGGCUGAGGCAGGAGAAUUGCUGGAACCUGGGAGGCCGAGGCUGCAGUGAGCCGAGAUCAUGCCACUGCACUCCAGCCUGGGUGACAGAGCAAGACUCUGUCUCAA